Molecule: ribosomal RNA, 407 nt
Filed under: uncultured bacterium
Lineage: Bacteria
Description: bacterial SSU rRNA
Rfam family: Bacterial small subunit ribosomal RNA
Source: RNAcentral
GGACCCGCACAAGUAGUGGAGCAUGUGGUUUAAUUCGAAGAUACGCGCAGAACCUUACCAACACUUGACAUGUUCGUCGCGACUCUAAGAGAUUAGAGUUUUCGGUUCGGCCGGACGAAACACAGGUGCUGCAUGGCUGUCGUCAGCUCGUGUCGUGAGAUGUUGGGUUAAGUCCCGCAACGAGCGCAACCCUCACUUUUAGUUGCCAUCAUUAAGUUGGGCACUCUGAAAGAACUGCCAGUGAUAAGCUGGAGGAAGGUGGGGAUGACGUCAAGUCCUCAUGGCCCUUACGUGUUGGGCUACACACGUGCUACAAUGGUAUCUACAACAGGAAGCAAGACUGCGAAGUUAAGCAAAUCCCUAAAAGAUACCUCAGUUCGGAUUGAGGUCUGCAACUCGACCUCAUG